CAAAAAGCUAGAAUGUUGGCCAAAUCCUGGCAGAGCUGGUUGUUUCACUGCUUCCAUAGCACAGGACCAUCUGGAGGGUCCGACUGUGCAGAUCCAGGGAAGCCACUCUGCUUUGAUAAAUCACUGUGCUGAGGAAGAAGCAGCUCAAGUGUACCACACAACUUGUUUUCAGAUUCGAAUUGAGCAACGUACAGAUUUUUAUGUAUGGAGAAAUGAUGUGGCCGCAGAAUCUCACAGAGCAGUAAUAGUUUCCGGGAACAAUAUUAUCAGUUCUUUCAAAGGGAGUGGCCUCUCAUAGGAUGAAUAUAGUCCAGUGGGAAUGUUACAUAUCUAAAACUAUAUGGUUAAUAUAAAUUAGAUAGAGAAAACAGUACUGGAUGUGAAUGGAUGUAUUGGUAGUACUUGGAGGGGUGGAUAUGAUGAAAUAAUAACCACCAACCAUAUGA
Molecule: non-coding RNA, 446 nt
Organism: Rattus norvegicus (Norway rat)
Lineage: Eukaryota; Metazoa; Chordata; Mammalia; Rodentia; Muridae
Source: RefSeq, a predicted model, not a curated record